Molecule: ribosomal RNA, 485 nt
Filed under: uncultured bacterium
Lineage: Bacteria
Description: partial 16S ribosomal RNA
Rfam family: Bacterial small subunit ribosomal RNA
Source: RNAcentral
AUUGAACGCUGGCGGCAGGCUUAACACAUGCAAGUCGAGCGGGGAAGGGUAGCUUGCUCCCUGACCUAGCGGCGGACGGGUGAGUAAUGCUUAGGAAUCUGCCUAUUAGUGGGGGACAACAUUCCGAAAGGAAUGCUAAUACCGCAUACGCCCUACGGGGGAAAGCAGGGGAUCUUCGGACCUUGCGCUAAUAGAUGAGCCUAAGUCAGAUUAGCUAGUUGGUGGGGUAAAGGCCUACCAAGGCGACGAUCUGUAGCGGGUCUGAGAGGAUGAUCCGCCACACUGGGACUGAGACACGGCCCAGACUCCUACGGGAGGCAGCAGUGGGGAAUAUUGGACAAUGGGCGCAAGCCUGAUCCAGCCAUGCCGCGUGUGUGAAGAAGGCCUUUUGGUUGUAAAGCACUUUAAGCGAUGAGGAGGCUACUGAGAUUAAUACUCUUGGAUAGUGGACGGUACUCGCAGAGUAAGCACCGGCUAACUCUGUG